RNAcentral lists this ribosomal RNA (253 nucleotides) under uncultured bacterium. Its description in RNAcentral is "partial 16S ribosomal RNA". It matches the Rfam family "Bacterial small subunit ribosomal RNA", at positions 524 to 776 of the family's 1533-position model. The record is from RNAcentral.
UACGUAGGGUGCGAGCGUUAAUCGGAAUUACUGGGCGUAAAGCGGGCGCAGACGGUUCGUUAAGCAAGAUGUGAAAUCCCCGGGCUCAACCUGGGAACUGCAUUUGAAACUGGCAAGCUAGAGUCUCGUAGAGGGGGGUAGAAUUCCAGGUGUAGCGGUGAAGUGCGUAGAGAUCUGGAGGAAUACCGAAGGCGAAGGCAGCCCCUUGGGAAUGUACUGACGCUCAUGUGCGAAAGCGUGGGGAGCAAACAGG